GAUGAACGCUGGCGGCGUGCCUAAUACAUGCAAGUCGAGCGAACGGACGAGAAGCUUGCUUCUCUGAUGUUAGCGGCGUACGGGUGAGUAACACGUGGAGAACCUACCUAUAAGACUGGGAUAACUUCGGGAAACCGGAGCUAAAACCGGAUAAUAUUUUGAACCGCAUGGUUCAAAAGUAAAAGACGGUCUUGCUGUCACUUAUAGAUUGAUCCGCGCUGCAUUAGCUAGUUGGUAAGGUAACGGCUUACCAAGGCAACGAUGCAUAGCCGACCUGAGAGGGUGAUCGGCCACACUGGCACUGAGACACGGUCCAGACUCCUACGGGAGGCCGCAGUAGGGAAUCUUCCGCAAUGGGCGAAAGCCUGACGGAGCAACGCCGCGUGAGUGAUGAAGGUCUUCGGAUCGUAAAACUCUGUUAUUAGGGAAGAACAUAUGUGUAAGUAACUGUGCACAUCUUGACGGUACCUAAUCAGAAAGCCACGGCUAACUACGUG
This 497-nucleotide ribosomal RNA is filed under the name uncultured bacterium. RNAcentral describes it as "partial 16S ribosomal RNA". It matches the Rfam family "Bacterial small subunit ribosomal RNA", at positions 28 to 507 of the family's 1533-position model. The record is from RNAcentral.